CCAAUAGCGUAUAUUAAAGUUGUUGCAGUUAAAAAGCUCGUAGUUGAAUUUCGGGGUUAGUAAGUUGGUCAUGCCUUUGGUAUGCACUGGCUUUACUGAUUCCUCCUUCUUGACGAACCGUGAUGUCAUUAAUUUGGUGUUGCGGGAAAUCAGGACUGUUACUUUGAAAAAAUUAGAGUGUUUAAAGCAGGCUAACGCUUGAAUACAUUAGCAUGGAAUAAUGAAAUAGGACGUUAAUCCUAUUUUGUUGGUUUCUAGGAUCGACGUAAUGAUUAAUAGGGAUAGUUGGGGGCAUUAGUAUUCAAUUGUCAGAGGUGAAAUUCUUGGAUUUAUUGAAGACUAACUACUGCGAAAGCAUUUGCCAAGGAUGUUUUCAUUAAUCAAGAACGAAAGUUAGGGGAUCGAAGACGAUCAGAUACCGUCGUAGUCUUAACCAUAAACUAUGCCGACUAGGGAUCGGAUGAUGUUAAUUCUUUAAUGACUCAUUCGGCGCCUUACG
This 499-nucleotide ribosomal RNA is filed under the name uncultured Glomus. Its description in RNAcentral is "SSU rRNA". It matches the Rfam family "Eukaryotic small subunit ribosomal RNA", at positions 591 to 1092 of the family's 1831-position model. Lineage: Eukaryota; Fungi; Glomeromycota; Glomeromycetes; Glomerales; Glomeraceae. RNAcentral also lists the same sequence under 1 other name. The record is from RNAcentral.